Molecule: ribosomal RNA, 620 nt
Filed under: uncultured bacterium
Lineage: Bacteria
Description: bacterial SSU rRNA
Rfam family: Bacterial small subunit ribosomal RNA (bases 1-543)
Source: RNAcentral
CCUACGGGAGGCAGCAGUGGGGAAUCUUGCGCAAUGGGCGGAAGCCUGACGCAGCAACGCCGCGUGCGGGAAGAAGGCCUUAGGGUCGUAAACCGCUUUCAGGGGGGACGAAGCUUCCGGGGUUAAUAGCCUACGGGGUGACGGUACUCCCAAAAGAAGGUCCGGCUAACUACGUGCCAGCAGCCGCGGUAAUACGUAGGGACCGAGCGUUGUCCGGAAUCAUUGGGCGUAAAGAGCGUGUAGGCGGCUUGGUAGGUCUCGUGUGAAAUCCCGCGGCUCAACCGCGGAUCCGCACGGGAAACCCCUAAGCUCGAGUCCGGAAGAGGAGAGUGGAAUUCCUGGUGUAGCGGUGAAAUGCGCAGAUAUCAGGAAGAACACCCGUAGCGAAGGCGGCUCUCUGGGACGGUACUGACGCUGAGACGCGAAAGCGUGGGGAGCAAACAGGAUUAGAUACCCUGGUAGUCCACGCCGUAAACGAUGGGCGCUAGGUGUGGGAGGUGUCGACUCCUCCCGUGCCGAAGCUAACGCAUUAAGCGCCCCGCCUGGGGAGGUACGGCCGCGAGACAAACUACAAGAAGUAGACGCGNGAGACGNGCCGACGACGACGACGAGGGAGUAGG